UCUAGAGGCUUCGGCAAUGGGGGCAACCCUGACCGAGCGACGCCGCGUGUGGGAUUGAAGGCCUUCGGGUCGUAAACCACUGUCAUGAGGGAAGAAUACCGGAAUGGUGAAUUUCGGGGCGACGGUACCUCAGGAGGAAGCCCCGGCUAACUCCGUGCCAGCAGCCGCGGUAAUACGGAGGGGGCAAGCGUUGUUCGGAUUUACUGGGCGUAAAGGGUGUGUAGGCGGUUGCGUAAGUCUGGUGUGAAAUCUUCACCGCUUAACGGGAAGAGGUCACUGGAAACUGCGUAACUCGAGUAUGGUAGAGGCAAGCGGAAUUCCUGGUGUAGCGGUGGAAUGUGUAGAUAUCAGGAAGAACAUCUGUGGCGAAGGCGGCUUGCUGGGCCAUCACUGACGCUGAGACACGAAAGCGUGGGGAGCAAACGGGAUUAGAUACCCGCGUAGUCC
Molecule: ribosomal RNA, 447 nt
Filed under: uncultured bacterium
Lineage: Bacteria
Description: bacterial SSU rRNA
Rfam family: Bacterial small subunit ribosomal RNA
Source: RNAcentral